ACUAAAUUCUCACCUAAAGUUGAUACUAAUAUUACAAUAACUCUCUUGUGCCCUAUUUUGGUGUUUUAAACUUCUUUGCUGUACAUUUAAGAAAAUCAGAAUUUCAGUAGACUCCUCGUGCAGUCUGAGGAGGCAGUUUCCUAUCUGGUUUGACUUAAGGGGCUGCAGAAGACAUUCUUAUCCCACAUAUUUCUUCUGCUGAUCAGUCAGCAACUGAAAUUCCAACUAAUGGAUUCCAUUCUUCCAGUUAAGACAUCAUCUCCAGAAAACUGUGCUAGUUGGCAUCCAGCAGUGCCCAAGUAUUAUUUAACCCACUAGAACCUGUGACUGCAUCAGCUUUAUAUCCUGGACCUCAGCCUGGAACAAAGGAGAGCUACACUUGGAUACUAAACACAAGUGGUCUGGAUAGAUUAUGCUGGGAAAAGAAGCCUGGAGCAGGCAGUACAGUGGGAGAACAAGGAAGCUUACUGCAGGAAAGAAAUCCCUCAGAGUCCUGAAGAUACAGCUUUCAGAACUUAGGUGAAGCAAGAGGACUCAAGGUGUGCAAGAAUGGACAGUACAGAAUGCUCUGCUACACUGCUCAGAUUCCCCCUUCAGGAAGGAAGGACAAAUUCACUCAACUUCUGGGAGCAUUGAUGGUUGAGCUCUCAGCCAUCAGACCUUUUUGGAAGUUGCCCUCUUCUGAAAAGAGGCACAUUGCCCAAGAUCUUUCCUCCUCCAGAGCGCAGGCUGCACCUGAAGUCUGAUUGAUGUGGGGUAUGAUGGUCUGGUCUCCUUUCCCCAUCUAAAGGACUGUUCUAACCUCAGGGCUCUCCUUGAGUUUCCUUAGUUAGUUCUUAUUACUAUGUUGCAGUCCAACUUCUUCUUUGGCCUAAUUCUACUUUCCUCCCAUUCCCCAAUUGUUGAUCCUGACAGCAAUUUCCCCCCAAAUUUCUGUAAACUAAGCAUGAUCUCAGAGUCACCUGACCUGCAACAUUAUUACAUACACUAUAGUCCGUGCACUUAAAGAUUUAGUGAAAGUAUGCUGCUGAAGCUUGCCAGAACUUCCCUUCUUCCACUGAAAAUUUGUCUGUUCAUAGAUAUACACCAUUCGUUCUCUUCUCUACUUUGGCCAAUUAUCUUAUGUUUGGGAAGGUGUUCUGCUAGAAGACAAAAUAGCAAUUCUUAGAACUAGAAAGAAAAACACAUCAAAGUCUGUCCUUUCUUAUGUCUUUUCUAUCUACAACAAAUACCCUGUGAUAAAAAGGAUGAUAGGAAAUAUAAGUAGUUUGAGUCCACCAAAUAUUUGGCUUGAAGUAUUUGGGUAUGAAAUACAAACUCACUUGACCUGGGCUCAAAUUUGCCAGCACUUCUUUUCUUUCUUCUCUUUUCAGAAACAGACUUUAUUUAUAUCAAUGUUAACAUCAAUCACAUAACCAUCAGGAAGGCUGUAACUUUGAUUUUUUUUUGUCCAAUAGUUGGGCCAAGUUUACAUUUCUCUUAUUUUAUUUAUUUAUUAUUAUUAUUUUUUUGAGAUGGAGUCUUACUCUGUCACCCAGGCUGGAGUGCAAUGGCGUCAUCUCAGCUCACUGCAACCUCCGCCUCCUGGGUUCAAACAAUUCUCCUGCCUCAGCCUCCUGAGAAGCAGGGAUUACAAGUGUGUGCCACCACGCCCGGCUAAUAUUUGUACUUUCAGUAGAGAACGGGGGUUUCACCAUGUUGCUCAGGUGGUCCCGAACUCCUGACCUUGCGAUCCACCCGCCUUGAACUCCCAAAGUGCUGGGAUUACAGGUGUGAGCCACCGUGCCUGGACCAUUUCUUUUCUCAUAUAUCAGCCUAUGCCAGGGGGGAGACUGGCUGAGGUUAAAGGCUAAUGUCAAGUACUAACUGAACAACAAAUGGAUAACCUCAACAAUGCAAUAUCCUGGUUGAAAUUGUUAGUGAAUUUUUUUAGCAGACCUGAGAUCUAUGUAUCUCCAUUCAACAAGUAAAGGUAGACUAUUUCCUUAAAUGCAAAUUCCUAUAAAAAAUAUCAGAAGUAUGUUAUGUAUUUAAAGUUAAAAAGCAUAUAACUUUUUAAAUGUUUAAUAAAAUUCACCAGUAUACACCAUCAUUUUCAUUGAGAAAAGGUUUAUAAUCAUGAAUUCUAUUUAUUUAAUAAUAUUAUUCAAUAUUUUUCUUUCAUUUUUGUUAAUUUGAUUUGUUAUGGCUUCUCAAAAAAAGCUUGUCCUUUUCAUCUAAUUUGUUCAAUUUAUUUUCAUGAAACCGGUCACAUACUUAAUCUUUCAUUGCUUCUUAUAUAACCAAAUUUCCAUCCGGUACCAUUUACUCUGAGCCAAAGAACCAGAAGCCAAAAGAACUUCCUGUAGCAUUUCCUGUAAUACAUAUCUGCUGAUUAACACUUUUCUAGGUUGACAAGUUAUAUAGUUGUCUUUCAUUUAGUUUAAAGAUGUUGUUCCAUUGUCUUCUCAUUUUCAUUGUUUCUGAUGAGAGGUCAGCCUUGUUUCUUAUUAUUGGUCCUCUGCAUUUAAUGUGUAAUAUGUCUUUUCUUCUCUUGCUUUUCAAAUGUUCUGUUUAAUUCUGAUUUUCAGCAGUUUAAUAUAAUGUCCAUUGCUUGUUUUUUGCUUAGAUUCCUGAAAUUAUGUGUGGGUUUUUAAAUAAAGUUUGAAAAUUUCUAA
This 2657-nucleotide long non-coding RNA is filed under the name Homo sapiens (human). RNAcentral's name for it is "long independently transcribed non-coding RNA 1013, transcript variant 6 (LINC01013)". Lineage: Eukaryota; Metazoa; Chordata; Mammalia; Primates; Hominidae. The record is from RNAcentral.